Molecule: long non-coding RNA, 7728 nt
Filed under: Zea mays
Lineage: Eukaryota; Viridiplantae; Streptophyta; Magnoliopsida; Poales; Poaceae
Description: long non-coding RNA (ZMAY_LNC001321)
Source: RNAcentral
CUGAUCUGGUCUUAAGAACCCCGGUGGCGGGUUGACAUAUGCAAGGGUUAAGUGCUACAUAUGUCGUGUGAUUGGAGAUCCUCAGCUGAGUAUAAUCGAUUCGGAUCGCCGUACCUUCGCGGUUAUGAAGACUUGGUCACUGCCCUAUACGUAGCAAUCCAGUGAAGAUGAAGGGCUUGUUAAUAAAUUGGCUUGUGCAGGUCAAGUGUUUGAACCAGGGUAGAAAGAACUCUAGAUGCAGGUAACUUUACUUAACCGGACAAUUAAAAUUGGAUUUUAAGGAUUCACUCAUAGUAAGCUUUUCUGCAAAACAGAGUCUUUGAUUCUUGAUAAGCCAUACCUUGAAUCCCUCUAGCCAGCAUACCCUUGAGAGUCUUUUCUUUAGUCGGCUAAGUCUUGCUGAGUAAUUCCGUACUCAGGGUUUUAUUCCCUGUUGUUUUUCAGUUUCUAACUUUGUGAUGCUGUUGAUGGUGUUAAGUGCCGGUGGGCUCUGCCUUCUUAUAAGUCUAAGUAACCCUUCUAUACUUCUUAUCGAGGAUGGUCCCUUGAGCUAGCAUAUAUUUCAAACUUAUACUUUUGUAAUCACUCCGAUAAAAAUUAUGUAAAAUUUUUGUAACCUGUAAAAUUUAGUAAUAAGAUUUCCGCUGCAAAAAUGAUGAUGUGUGUGAUUGGUAUUACUUAAUCCCGCGGUUCUGGUUGAAAGUGGUUUAUCCGAUGUCCUUAGGGCAAUCGGACAGAUCCUGUUGAGUUAUCUGGUGCACAUGCAUGGCCGUCUGAGGUCUUUGGGACAAAGACAGGUACAUGUGGGCCCAAUAACUUGGAGGUUCUGCCACAGGCUGGUAUCGGAGCUGGAUUAAGUAUAUACGGUCACAUACGUAUUUUCAAAACAAAGGUUUUGGCUUUGAAAAACCUAUUUUCAACUAAACACAUUGUUUGGCUUUGAAAAACUAUAAUGCUAGCGACAUCCUCUGUUAAGCCCUAAACUAAGGACUAUCAGGUGGCUUAGUUGAAAACCAUAACCGGGUGGAUAUUGCAUACAUGUGUAUUGUUAUUUUUGAGGCCAUUCAGUCUUGAAUGGAUCGACGCUCAAGGUAAGGUGAGAUGUGAGAGCAUGACCGAACAACCAUCGGUCUAGGGAAGUGCUAAAUUAUAGCGCUUGAUUAUAUACAUGUUCUACAUAUGUAUAUAUGAAGGCUGCGAUGUGGAGUAUUUACUUUUCUGGGAAUUCAGUACCCCAUGGAUGUGUACGGGGAUACAGACAUGGGAAUACUGAGAAGUGUAAUGUACUUGUAACGACGCACCUACGCUCAGGUAAGAAGGUGAGUUACCAUAAUGAGUUGCCCUAUGGUUAAAGUGUGGCAACGGCGCCUAUGCGUAGCUCAGCGCUUAAUGAUGAGCUGGCCUCCAUAUAGCAAUAUAUGGAGUAUAAACUGUGAUAAAUUGUCAUGUGUGACUUGCAUCAUUGGGAAUUAGGCUGUAAUGGAUUUUCUGCAGGUACACUAACCUCGAAAACGUAUGUGUAGUUGACGACUAGCAAAAUACCGUGAGAGCUAUGCGUAUGCCACUGAUAUAGAACGCUAUUGCCACAAUAUGUUGGCAAAAUCAGUGAGGACGCAUAGGACGAGCAUGCAUCCUGAUUGUUGCAUCAUGUUUGUCACCUAUACACCUAAAAUGCUUCUCUCAUCCUUAUUCUAGUAACCAUUGAUUGUAGAUAAUCUAGUGUAAUGUGAAUUAUGAACUUCGAUAAAAUAGCUGUCCUCCGUUCCUUAGGUAUUAUGUUUAGAUGCUAUAUGUGUGCUCUUGUGCUUAAUGUGUCGAUAGAAGGUUAGUGACUUAAUUGCCUAAACCCAAAACCAGGCCAUAUUCUUAUUUAGUGAACCAUGUCCAAAUUUGAAUUUACCAUUAUCCCUCCAUGACCAAACUCAUACAAAUUUAGGUUAUGGCCAUGCCCUAUUCAUUUCAUCGGGCCAUGAUCUAUUUGGCUCUCUACUUGUAACCAUCCUUACAGGUGGAAUAUCUCUUUGUAUAUUGUCACCCUUGCCCAAUCCAUUGGUGUCGCGUGGGAUUUCUUAUUGGUUAUGUCUGAUAACGGUGUUAUGACUAAAACCUAUGGUGCCAUGACGAAACCGAGGGCCUUUUGUGUGUGCGCACAUGGUUGCGCUACUCGGCACACGCUAGUAUCACAGUUAGUAGUCAUAAUCCAUUAUGAGAUUAUAUCAAUAUGUUAUCUUCCGUAGACCUCUUCCUUGAAACAAUUUCUAUGUUGUUUGUGGAGUGAUCAAGCAACAUAUGUCAUCUCCGUUGGAUCAAAAGGACAUACCACUUUCAUGUGUGGUCUUAUUUCUUUUGAUCUUGGUAGUGACUAACCACAUAAGUUCCCUUUACAUCCUUUGUGUAAAGGUGAAGCCUUGGAGCUUUUUAGUGUUGAGCGACAACUAAUUAGCUCUCAAAUUGGAGAUUAACUUUCCCUGCUGUUGAGAUGUAGGAGUUUGUUCAUUCGCUCUCUUAUUUAAUCCAUGUAUUCCUUAUCCAAGUAGAUAAUUCAUCUCUUAUGGAAGAAACAGAUGAACAACAUGACCAAAUGGAUUUCUACCCCAAAUGCAUGACCUUUUGCUAGCAAAUGUGAACUCUCAACCCUUGGCUUACCGAUGGUAUUGAGAGGACCUGCUCAAUGUCAAAAGUAGUUCAACAAGCUGGUUUUACUAACUUGUACUGCUUUGUCAACAAUGGUUGAGUUUAGAGAUCAUUUUGUCGAGUUAUCUAAACUCACAUUGGUUCAAUCCAUCCUAGGAAGGUACUUGUAAGAAUCAAGUCAAGUUGGCCAAUAACCACCUAAUUAUUGCUCUAAUCAUGCCUCGAUCGCCUCGCGUGUGCUUUUCCAGCAUGUGUGAUCAAGUCGAGCCAUGAUUAGUGCUUGCUAAAAUGGACUGGUUGUAAAGUCCGUAUCUACAGAUCCCUCUGCUGGUGAUUUUCUCGAAUCUAUACCAUUUUUCGUGGACUUGAAUUCUCGGGUUCGCCACAUGUUAACCGCGAUAGUAUUCGACAUCCACAUCCGUCACAUGUGCUACGAACUUAUCAUGACCACUUGUUGGUAAACCUACUUUUAUGUGUUUUACCCAAGAUGGUGCAUCUGAUUCUGUUUGGGUAAAAUCGCGUAUUUGCUGCUUGCUCAACAGACUCAGAUAGUACAUUGUCAUCAGAAAAAGCAAACUGCACACAUGGAACCUUAUGUGUUCUGCUGGCAGACGUCGUCUCUAUUGGUGGACAUUUCUAGAUUAGCCUAAGGCGAUUUAUGUUCUGUCCACUAGAGAAAUCACAUCCUGAGACACUCGCCUUUAAUUGGAAAUGUCUCACGAUUAUCAUUGAUAUGAACAUGGGUUACAUACUUCUCUACCCUUAGAAGUCUUUCGCUCCGAAUCUCGGGACGAGAUUCUUUUAAGAGGGGAGGGUUGUAACACCCCAGGUGUUCCGCUCGACAACGAGUACGAAUUUAAGCACGUAAUCAGUGGAUAAAACAUAUGCUAAAUUUUAAUCAUCCUCGUCUAUCGCGAUUUUAAUAUCGCAUCUGUGCCGUCUGUCGCGAGUGCGACGUCGUUUUUAUUUUCAUCUAUUCGGGCUCGUCCUAAUUUUUCGUGCUGUGCGGAACAUAUUUGUUCUGAAAAUCGGUGCGUCCGAUGAUUAAUUAAAAUUCGUCGCUCGCGCGAAUACGAAUUCGAAAGCCCGACCCACUCGAAUAAUUUUUAUCCAUAAACAAAUUUAUUUAGAACUCGACGAAAGAAGUUUUCGGAACAAAUUACUAGAGCCGGGAUCAGUUUAAUCCUAUUUGUCUCGUUUAUCGUUAUCAGUAAAAUUUUGGUCCGACUAAAUUAGACCACGCCCAAAUCCUAAUACCAAAACCCGGAUGUCUGAAAUUUGUUUCGCUAAAAUAAAUAAGAUUCAGAUGAAAUCUGUUGGUUCGAACCAUAUCAUCAGUAUCGUCGACUCGUUUUGUGGUGAUUUGACCCAUUAUAUAUCACUAAAGUGAUACAAAAUCAUUUGAUUCUAAAGAGUUUGCCAAAUAAAAACCGUGUUACAAGUACUGUCAAUCCUUUUGUUGUCGCUAAAAAUCCCAAUCCACAAACAUCUAUGAUUUUUCGGUUAAAGAAAUUGAAAAUCCGGAAAAUGUAAAAAAAAAUCCUCGUCGAUCUCAUUCGAUGCCGCCCUCCCCUAGGAUUUUUUUGGACGUCGCCGCCCCUCGAUCCUUUAAAUGCACGCGCCGGUCCUUCCCCUCUGCCGGUGGCCAUGGCAGCCGUCUGGCCGGGCUCAACCCCUGCCCAUCUCCCUGGUCGCGACCGCCCAGCUCCCUGCUCCUCUGCCCCAAGCUUUUUCCUCGCGCGAACAGCUCCGCUCGGCUUCAUCUCCCUCUGGCGCCGUCGGCCGGAUCUCCCAUGGCGAGUUUCCCCUGAUCGGCGUCCCUGCAGAGUCCAUGGCCGAGCUCCCCCAUGGCGCCCCCUCUCUGCUCGUCUUCCACCGCACCCGAUGCCGCCCGGCCGCCAUGGAAAUCGCCCAGCCCGCUCUCCUUCCUCCUCCUCUACUCCUCCCUGAAACUUUCCCCAUGGCGCCUUGCUUCUCUACACGCCUGGCCUACUCCCAACUCUCGCGCGCGUCUCUCUGCUUGCACAGGCACCAGCUCGGCCACCUACCUCCCUGUGCUCGGCUCCCUGGUCUGAUUUCUCUCAGCUCCUCUCUCCAUGGCCACUGCCCAGCUCCAUCUCGACCUUCAGCGCGCCCCUGGCCCCUCUGCUCGAGUUCGCCCAUGGCUGUUGUUCCCUGGACCUUGUCGCGCCCCUGGCUUGGUCCCAGCUCGGCGCCCCAAGCUCCCCUGUGCGCGCUCAGCUUGAAGCCUGUCCUCGGCGCCCGGCUUUCCCCAAGUCCGGCCAUCGCCUCACUGGUCGUGUGUCUGAAAUCCCUGCCGAGCAACUCACCUCAGCCCCCAGCUCGGAUCCGCUGCAAGCUCGGUCCGGCCCUUUGCUGCAGCUCGCUCAUCUCCCUGCGCAGUCGUGCUCAUCUUCUCGGUCUCCACUACGAGCAGUGAACGUCCCUGCUCUCUCCAUUCUCUGGCCACGGACUCCAUGGAGCAGCAGUAGCCUCAGCUCGGCAACACCAAUCGACUUCCUGGAACCAGUGUUCUAGCCCCCUUCCUCCCUCAAGUAUGGCAGCCAGAGUUUUCUUGCUCGGCUCUAGGAUACGCAAGCCGCCACCAGCCCAGCUACUCGUCAUCGUGUGCGCGCCGGUUGGGAGCUCACCAACGACGACGGUCGCGCUCGCUCAGCUAUGUAUCCACGCCCUUCCUGCCGCAGCUUGUGCCCGUCGUCCUGCCUGCUCGAACUACCCCGCGCCUCGGACCCUGCCCGAUUGGUGUGCCUUGUGGCCUGUUGGCAUGCUGGUCAGCCGGCAACAGCACCUGAGUCCCUAGCAGACUUGCGGUAGAGACCUCACCAAAUCGCGCCCUUGCUCGACGCCGGGGAUGACCUCGUGGAGCACCGCUGCGAGCUCCCAGCGCCCUCACCUUCGGUCUCACUCUUGCCAUGGACGUCCUGUGCUCUAUCUCAUCAUCACCGUUCGCGUCGGAUACCAAACCUUCGCAAGCCCCAGACGUGUCGUCACCACCUUCAUGCGUUGCCAUUCACGUUUUAUGUUCAUACCGGCAAAAGAAUCCCAAAAUAGUGUGGAAGAACGGGUAGAUGGGGAUGAAAGCGAGGCCAGUGUGUAUAGCUCGCAUGGUGUUCUGCUGAAAGCUUCACCUGGUGCUUAUCGUCAUUCUUGCAGGAUUCAAGUUUGAGUUAAUAUGGUAAGCCGAUUCACUACUCAUGCUAUUGAUUCGAUGUCCGGAAUGGUUAUAUAUAUAUAUAUAUAAUGGUCGAUGAUUAUCUUGUUUGCAACGUAUGCAUUGUGGCGGCAUUAGACAUUUGUUAAAAUGAUCCAUAUAUACGGUAUGUGGUUAAAUCAGUUAUACGAAGGACCUGUCGAGUGUUUACAACGUCUAACUAAUAAGUGUCGUCAGUAUUGCUUGUGAGGGAUUGUGUUCGUAUUUGACAAAUAAUUGUGUCACGUAAAGCUUAGGUUUAAAUGCAUAUUAUGAUAGAAAUGUAUUACUGAAUAUAUAAAUCCAGUAUGAUUGGAUUGAUAAUAGGAAAAGCAGGUUAAGUAUUUUAAUCGACUCGCGGGCGGGAUUUACCAGUGUUUCUAGGUUUUUAGGUGUUAAAGCUAUAAUUUUAUGGAAUUAUAUUAAGUGGAUAAUGAGUUGUCUGCUAGAUCUAAAACUAAUAUGAUAUUCAUGUAAUUAGCGUGUUAUCCAAAUUAGUCAAAAUAAGUCAUUUAGAAAGUUAGUUAAUGUGCUUCUAUCCUUAUUCUAAAUUAGAUGUCUAAGAGUAAUGACUCUAAGUUUAUUAGUCUUUUAUUGUUCUAUAAUAUUCAGUCUAGUUUUAGAUGUUAUGCUCUAAUUUGUAGCUUGUGUUCAAUUAUUGUUGAUUGGAUGUUUGAAUUAAGUACAAUUAUCUCGAAGAUUAUAAUUACCAUAGAGUCAUAGUUAUCUAGUGUGCGUUCAUAGGAGCCGCGAUAUAUCGUCACUAAGUGUUUAGUUCUUGUCGGUGUAGCACUAUUUAGGUUUAUAAUAUUCUUGUCUAUAUGCAUUCAUGUGCAUAAUGCAUGCCAUUCAGGUACGUUAAAUAAGCACGUGAUGCGGAAGACGACCCAAGUCGACCCCAAGCGCGGGUAAUCCGCAGGAUGAUACUGAUGGACAAACCAAAAUAUGGAUAAUCUGAACGAGUGCCAAGCCAAAGGAUACUCGCCAAGUCGUCGUCUAACGACACUAACCUAGUGUUACUCAGACAAGCCUCGGUGCAUUUGCCACCUCCUUGAUGUUUUUAAACCUUUCUCACUUGCCUGAUGCAUUAGGUGAUAGGAGUUGAUUGCUAAAAUAAUUCCUGCAUUACCUUCCUUGAAUUUGAUUACCUUCCUUGAUCACCCAUUUUGCAAAAGAUUUUUGAUGCUUAGCCUUGCUUUAGAAAAACAAAAUAUUUUGUUUUUACAAAAUAUGAUGUGGCAAAAGUGGGUGGGAUGUUUUCGAAAAUAAAACUUGAUGGUGAAUCUGUCAAAGGCCUUGAUGGGUUCAACAUUGGAAAAGAUGUACCUCUGCCAGGUACCAAACUUUGGGUUGAAAUGAUUAAGCUGAGACCGGGCGGGUGACUUGCACGAGAAGAGAGUCUCGGUGUAGUGUCUCCGUCUGAGUCGAUUAAGGAUCGUGUCGAUGUAGGCUUGCUGACCGAGGACCCUUUAACUGGUCACAUGCCUCGUCAUGGGUAAGCCUUGCCUCAGGCAGACUAAGGCCAGAAUAAGAUAACACGAAAUGGGCGUGGAGCGGUGGCGAGAGUAGUGUGUACCCUCCGUAGCAAGAGGCUGGACGGUGGUGUAUCUGUGCUCUCGGUUUGCGUGAACCUGAUCUGGUCUUAAGAACCCCGGUGGCGGGUUGACAUAUGCAAGGGUUAAGUGCUACAUAUGUCGUGUGAUUGGAGAUCCUCAGCUGAGUAUAAUCGAUUCGGAUCGCCGUACCUUCGCGGUUAUGAAGACUUGGUCACUGCCCUAUACGUAGCAAUCCAGUGAAGAUGAAGGGCUUGUUAAGAAAUUGGCUAGUGCAGAUCAAGUGUUUGAACCAGGGUAGAAAGAACUCUAGAUGCAGGUAACUUUACU